AUGCGUGUUCCGAAAGAAAGAGGAGGUAUGGGAUUCAGAGACUUGCACUGUUUUAAUAUGGCACUCCUGGCUAAGCCGUGUUGGAGACUAUUGGUUGAACCAGAAUCACUUUGUGCCAGAGUCUUCAAAGUUAAAUACUUCCCAAAUGGUGAUCUUCUUAAUUGCACACUUAAGAAGGGUAGUUCCUACACAUGGCAGAGCCUUUGGAGCGGUAUUCAAACUUUUAGGAGAGGGCACAUAUGGGGAGUAGGGGAUGGUGCCCAAAUAAACACAUGGGAGAAUCCAUGGAUUCCUAGUAGUGCUACACGCAGAGUAAUGACACCGAGAGGUAAUAUUGUUUUAACACAUGUCUCUGAGCUGAUAGAUGAAGAUAAUAGAGUUUGGGAUGAGCAGUUGCUUAAUGAGUUAUUUUGA
This 414-nucleotide ribosomal RNA is filed under the name Triticum aestivum (bread wheat). Its description in RNAcentral is "partial small subunit ribosomal RNA". The record is from RNAcentral. Lineage: Eukaryota; Viridiplantae; Streptophyta; Magnoliopsida; Poales; Poaceae.